Molecule: long non-coding RNA, 6513 nt
Organism: Ostrea edulis (European flat oyster)
Lineage: Eukaryota; Metazoa; Mollusca; Bivalvia; Ostreida; Ostreidae
Exons: 3
Source: RefSeq, a predicted model, not a curated record
ACAAUAGGACUUUCCACUGAAAGGUGGAAAGCCCUAAUAAUAAACAGAACAAUAACAAUAGGACUUUCCACUGAAAGGUGGAAAGCCCUAAUAAUUGAGACGAAAGUGCCACGUAUUGAAUACAUUUGGCAAUCCUAGGUCAGAAUGGGAACUUGAGUCAUGUAAGUGACAUUUUCACGUAAAAAAUGCGCGUUUGCAUAAAUUUAGAAUUCUCGUAUUCUGUUGAUUUCUACAUUUCAAGAUUGGCAACUGACCAGGUGUAAAGGUGCACAUUUUCCGUUCUCGGAUGGAAAAAGGGGUGGGUUCGAUUCCCUCAGUCAGUUCACAAGGAAAUGUUGAGUCGCCGUGCGUAAAAAAAAAUCAAUUUUCGCAUUCGUCAAGGCGUAAAAGAAUGGCAGGUGGUGAGUGUUUAAAACACUAGUGAUCCUAAUUGUUCGCGAACAAUUAGAGGGCUUCCCACCUUCUAGCGGUUUUUCAGUAGUGUUGAAAUGCUAAAAGCCCCCCCCCCCCCCCUACCCUACCCCACCCCACCCUCACGGGGAAAAAAAAAAAAAAAAAAAAAAUGGAUUUGGCUAGAAAAGAAAUUCAAAUUUGCCACCUAAAUUUGAGUGUUGAGGUGUGUUCAAUGCUUGGUUUCGCAUUAAGUACCCGUCAAAUUUGAGGGAGAAAAGGGGUGUGGGUGUUGGGUAGCCAGCACAUAUGCACAUAUCAGGUAAAAGUGUAAUAGGACUUGUGCAGGUGUUUGGGGGUGACUUUAGACCUGUUAGAUAGGAUAUUUGGAGGUGCAAAGAAACCGGAUGUAACAUUUUCCUAGAUUGUAACUGCUCGUGCAUGCUGGGAGUCUACAAGCCUCAUGUUGAUGUUGUGAAGAUGCACUGGAUUUUACCGUUUGUGUUGUGGAUUGUGGAAUUGAAUAUACAGUUUGUAAUUGCUCAUCCUAUGUGUUCUAAUUACGGAGACAAUGUCUUUCAGUCAUUUCACCCAAGGAGGCAUGCAUAUACGGAUUUAUAGGCUUUGACAACAAACAACCAAAAUGGCGGCCGGUGAAUUAGAAAGUGUCUGAGUGCAUGUAGGAUAUCUGAACGGAGAAUAGGAGUACUGCAUCCCAUCUGAUCCUGCAGUCAUUUCACCCAAGGAGGCAUGCAUAUACGGAUUGAUAGGCUUUGACAACAAACAACCAAAAUGGCGGCCGGUGAAUUAGAAAGUGUCUGAGUGCAUGUAGGAUAUCUGAACGGAGAAUAGGAGUACUGCAUCCCAUCUGAUCCUGCAGUCAUUUCACCCAAGGAGGCAUGCAUAUACGGAUUGAUAGGCUUUGACAACAAACAACCAAAAUGGCGGCCGGUGAAUUAGAAAGUGUCUGAGUGCAUGUAGGAUAUCUGAACGGAGAAUAGGAGUACUGCAUCCCAUCUGAUCCUGCAGGUAAGUGUUUAUUUGUUUACAAUGACAGUCGGGAUGGAAUGUCAAUGAGUUCAACUGUCAAGUAAAGUUGCAUCAUCAUUAUCAAAAAAAAAAACAACUUAGUCUUUAUGUUGAUGCAGGCAGACAAUUGAAUCUGGCCUAUGUCUUUUCAUGAAUGUAAAUGGAAUUCAUGUUUGAUUGACAAGACAGUCAAGAAAUGGAAGAAGUGGGUGUAGGUCAGAUGUGUAGGUGUAGGUCAGUUUAGCUAGAAUCCUGUAAUUGUUGCAUGGCAUGAGACCGGUCAAAAUAGUGUAUUGAAACAGCUGAUCACAAUCAGAUCACUUGAAGGGUGGGGGAUUUCUUCCUUGGGGACGACAGGCGUGAUGGGUGGGUUGGCCUUACUCGUGGAGACUGGCCCCUGGAUGCGUGACCUUGACCUUUGACCUUGACCCACUUUCAAGGUCAAACCUCAAAAACCCAUGGGGGGGGAAAGUGUGACCUUGACCUUUGACCUUGACCUCAUUUUGAAGGUCAGAGAGGUCACGGGGCUUCGUUUAAGUGGUCCCGCAUCCCUAUCUACAUCCGUGAAGAAGUUGUGGGCUCGAACGACGACGUCGGAGACUUUCGGGGGCGAGAACCGUGCUUCGGGGUUCUCGGUUUCCCUCGGUCAACUUUUCUGUGCGAGAGCGUUUCAUCUGGAAUUCGUCGGCGAAGGUCUCGCCUCUCCACGACUUGCGGUCUAGUGAGAGUAGCGAUAACGGGGUUUUCGACGUUAAGUCGCCGCCAUUCGCAGAGUGGUCAAAGUUCAGAGUUGACAUUCGUGAUGCCGAGACCGGUCCAAAAUUCCUUGCUGACCCAUGUGAUAUUUCGAUGCUAUCUGAAGCGUGAAAGAGCGUAUAAAAAGUGCCAUUUUCUGGCCAUUCUGGAUGACCUUGACCUUUGACCUUGACCUACUUUUUCAAGGUCAAGGUCACCCAACCCGUCCCAGUGGGUUCCGUCUCUCUACGACGAAGACUUUAGGAGUCGUCAAUUUGUAGGGGACAAAUCGCAAAACAUGAGGGGGCAUUAACUCCCUUUAGGGGACACCGAAUCCCUUCAUUUGAAAUUCUUCGCUUCUACUAAUUACCCUCUGUGUUUUAGAAAAGGUUUCAUCCUCCUAUCAUUUACGGUUACAAAGUAGAAGUGCUAACAAUGAUUUCUGCGAAAGGUCAAAUAACUCCGUAAGGGGUCAAAGUUCAAUUACGCAGGGUGAACUGUAUUCGUUUCUCAAGAAGUACUAUAUGAUGGACUAUAAAGUUUUUCGAUAAGUCUUAAGACGAAGAUUUUUUUUGACGGCAGGAAAAUAAUAAUAAUAAUAAUAAUAAUAAUAAUAAUAAUAAACAGAACAAUAACAAUAGGACUUUCCACUGAAAGGUGGAAAGCCCUAAUAAUAAACAGAACAAUAACAAUAGGACUUUCCACUGAAAGGUGGAAAGCCCUAAUAAUUGAGACGAAAGUGCCACGUAUUGAAUACAUUUGGCAAUCCUAGGUCAGAAUGGGAACUUGAGUCAUGUAAGUGACAUUUUCACGUAAAAAAUGCGCGUUUGCAUAAAUUUAGAAUUCUCGUAUUCUGUUGAUUUCUACAUUUCAAGAUUGGCAACUGACCAGGUGUAAAGGUGCACAUUUUCCGUUCUCGGAUGGAAAAAGGGGUGGGUUCGAUUCCCUCAGUCAGUUCACAAGGAAAUGUUGAGUCGCCGUGCGUAAAAAAAAAUCAAUUUUCGCAUUCGUCAAGGCGUAAAAGAAUGGCAGGUGGUGAGUGUUUAAAACACUAGUGAUCCUAAUUGUUCGCGAACAAUUAGAGGGCUUCCCACCUUCUAGCGGUUUUUCAGUAGUGUUGAAAUGCUAAAAGCCCCCCCCCCCCCCCUACCCUACCCCACCCCACCCUCACGGAAAAAAAAAAAAAAAAAAAAAAAAAUGGAUUUGGCUAGAAAAGAAAUUCAAAUUUGCCACCUAAAUUUGAGUGUUGAGGUGUGUUCAAUGCUUGGUUUCGCAUUAAGUACCCGUCAAAUUUGAGGGAGAAAAGGGGUGUGGGUGUUGGGUAGCCAGCACAUAUGCACAUAUCAGGUAAAAGUGUAAUAGGACUUGUGCAGGUGUUUGGGGUGACUUUAGACCUGUUAGAUGUGAUAUUUGGAGGUGCAAAGAAACCGGAUGUGCCAUUUUCCUAGAUUGUAGUAACUGCUGGUGCAUGCUGGGAGUCUAUACAAGCCUCAUGUUGUCAGAUGUUGUGAAGAUGCACUGGAUUUGACCGUGUGUGUUGUGGAUUGUGGAAUUGAAUAUACAGUUUGUAAUGGCUCAUCCUAUGUGUUCUAAUUCACGGAGACAAUGUCUUUCAGUCAUUUCACCCAAGGAGGCAUGCAUAUACGGAUUGAUAGGCUUUGACAACAAACAACCAAAAUGGCGGCCGGUGAAUUAGAAAGUGUCUGAGUGCAUGUAGGAUAUCUGAACGGAGAAUAGGAGUACUGCAUCCCAUCUGAUCCUGCAGGUAAGUGUUUAUUUGUUUACAAUGACAGUCGGGAUGGAAUGUCAAUGAGUUCAACUGUCAAGUAAAGUUGCAUCAUCAUUAUCAAAAAAAAAAACAACUUAGUCUUUAUGUUGAUGCAGGCAGACAAUUGAAUCUGGCCUAUGUCUUUUCAUGAAUGUAAAUGGAAUUCAUGUUUGAUUGACAAGACAGUCAAGAAAUGGAAGAAGUGGGUGUAGGUCAGAUGUGUAGGUGUAGGUCAGUUUAGCUAGAAUCCUGUAAUUGUUGCAUGGCAUGAGACCGGUCAAAAUAGUGUAUUGAAACAGCUGAUCACAAUCAGAUCACUUGAAGGGUGGGGGAUUUCUUCCUUGGGGACGACAGGCGUGAUGGGUGGGUUGGCCUUACUCGUGGAGACUGGCCCCUGGAUGCGUGACCUUGACCUUUGACCUUGACCCACUUUCAAGGUCAAACCUCAAAAACCCAUGGGGGGGGAAAGUGUGACCUUGACCUUUGACCUUGACCUCAUUUUGAAGGUCAGAGAGGUCACGGGGCUUCGUUUAAGUGGUCCCGCAUCCCUAUCUACAUCCGUGAAGAAGUUGUGGGCUCGAACGACGACGUCGGAGACUUUCGGGGGCGAGAACCGUGCUUCGGGGUUCUCGGUUUCCCUCGGUCAACUUUUCUGUGCGAGAGCGUUUCAUCUGGAAUUCGUCGGCGAAGGUCUCGCCUCUCCACGACUUGCGGUCUAGUGAGAGUAGCGAUAACGGGGUUUUCGACGUUAAGUCGCCGCCAUUCGCAGAGUGGUCAAAGUUCAGAGUUGACAUUCGUGAUGCCGAGACCGGUCCAAAAUUCCUUGCUGACCCAUGUGAUAUUUCGAUGCUAUCUGAAGCGUGAAAGAGCGUAUAAAAAGUGCCAUUUUCUGGCCAUUCUGGAUGACCUUGACCUUUGACCUUGACCUACUUUUUCAAGGUCAAGGUCACCCAACCCGUCCCAGUGGGUUCCGUCUCUCUACGACGAAGACUUUAGGAGUCGUCAAUUUGUAGGGGACAAAUCGCAAAACAUGAGGGGGCAUUAACUCCCUUUAGGGGACACCGAAUCCCUUCAUUUGAAAUUCUUCGCUUCUACUAAUUACCCUCUGUGUUUUAGAAAAGGUUUCAUCCUCCUAUCAUUUACGGUUACAAAGUAGAAGUGCUAACAAUGAUUUCUGCGAAAGGUCAAAUAACUCCGUAAGGGGUCAAAGUUCAAUUACGCAGGGUGAACUGUAUUCGUUUCUCAAGAAGUACUAUAUGAUGGACUAUAAAGUUUUUCGAUAAGUCUUAAGACGAAGAUUUUUUUUGACGGCAGGAAAAUAAUAAUAAUAAUAAUAAUAAUAAUAAUAAUAAUAAACAGAACAAUAACAAUAGGACUUUCCACUGAAAGGUGGAAAGCCCUAAUAAUAAACAGAACAAUAACAAUAGGACUUUCCACUGAAAGGUGGAAAGCCCUAAUAAUUGAGACGAAAGUGCCACGUAUUGAAUACAUUUGGCAAUCCUAGGUCAGAAUGGGAACUUGAGUCAUGUAAGUGACAUUUUCACGUAAAAAAUGCGCGUUUGCAUAAAUUUAGAAUUCUCGUAUUCUGUUGAUUUCUACAUUUCAAGAUUGGCAACUGACCAGGUGUAAAGGUGCACAUUUUCCGUUCUCGGAUGGAAAAAGGGGUGGGUUCGAUUCCCUCAGUCAGUUCACAAGGAAAUGUUGAGUCGCCGUGCGUAAAAAAAAAUCAAUUUUCGCAUUCGUCAAGGCGUAAAAGAAUGGCAGGUGGUGAGUGUUUAAAACACUAGUGAUCCUAAUUGUUCGCGAACAAUUAGAGGGCUUCCCACCUUCUAGCGGUUUUUCAGUAGUGUUGAAAUGCUAAAAGCCCCCCCCCCCCCCCUACCCUACCCCACCCCACCCUCACGGAAAAAAAAAAAAAAAAAAAAAAAAAUGGAUUUGGCUAGAAAAGAAAUUCAAAUUUGCCACCUAAAUUUGAGUGUUGAGGUGUGUUCAAUGCUUGGUUUCGCAUUAAGUACCCGUCAAAUUUGAGGGAGAAAAGGGGUGUGGGUGUUGGGUAGCCAGCACAUAUGCACAUAUCAGGUAAAAGUGUAAUAGGACUUGUGCAGGUGUUUGGGGUGACUUUAGACCUGUUAGAUGUGAUAUUUGGAGGUGCAAAGAAACCGGAUGUGCCAUUUUCCUAGAUUGUAGUAACUGCUGGUGCAUGCUGGGAGUCUAUACAAGCCUCAUGUUGUCAGAUGUUGUGAAGAUGCACUGGAUUUGACCGUGUGUGUUGUGGAUUGUGGAAUUGAAUAUACAGUUUGUAAUGGCUCAUCCUAUGUGUUCUAAUUCACGGAGACAAUGUCUUUCAGUCAUUUCACCCAAGGAGGCAUGCAUAUACGGAUUGAUAGGCUUUGACAACAAACAACCAAAAUGGCGGCCGGUGAAUUAGAAAGUGUCUGAGUGCAUGUAGGAUAUCUGAACGGAGAAUAGGAGUACUGCAUCCCAUCUGAUCCUGCAGGUAAGUGUUUAUUUGUUUACAAUGACAGUCGGGAUGGAAUGUCAAUGAGUUCAACUGUCAAGUAAAGUUGCAUCAUCAUUAUCAAAAAAAAAAA